RNAcentral lists this long non-coding RNA (508 nucleotides) under Homo sapiens (human). RNAcentral's name for it is "HSALNT0165593". The record is from RNAcentral. Lineage: Eukaryota; Metazoa; Chordata; Mammalia; Primates; Hominidae.
AGAUUUAUUAGAUUUACCAGAAAAUACAUAGUACAAGAGAAAUAAAAACAAGGUUAACAUCAGGUCAAGAGGUUUCGACUCCAGUCCAGUUAGUUUUUCCCAAAAUCAUUUUUCGGCUCCUGUUCUGUGGCUGGCUUGCUGGAUCCAGUUCCUGAUGCCCAGAAAACAUCCAGGAAAGAGAAUCAGAGGCCCUGGAGGAGUCAGAGCUACAGCCCUGGGUGGCUUCUGCAGUUCUGCGUGUGCAAAGACACUUCCUCCUUGGUAAAACUUCAUCUUUCUGGUACAUGCCUCCCAGAUCGUCGAUGGAACUCUUACCCACAUGAGCACAACUCUUCCUUUAUAGAGUAUUGACUAGGAAUGAUAAUUGUCCAAGAAAAGUCUUCAGUGAUAAAAUACACAAUUACUUGUAUAUUUCAGCUUUGUUCUGUUGGUAAUUAUUUGAAUGAUAAGUAAGAUAUUUGAUGAUAUUUCUUUUGUGUUUGGCUCAUCAUAGAUGGUGUCCUUCAAU